GAGACCCGUAUUGGUUUUAAAAUUGGUCAAUGAGCUGAAAUUUUGCAUGCUGGAUUAUGGGAACAUUUUUGCCGAUUACGAAUAGUAGUUGGUGCAGGUCGUCUGACUAAAAUUUAGAAGCUGACACUGACCCUGACUCGGGCUAAAUAAAGGCUGCACGCUGCAGAUUUCAAAUUUAAUUCUCGAAAUAGUAGCCUCGAGAUUUUUUGCUUAAAAAAUCAAGCUAAAAAUUAAGAUGAUUUCAUCUUUAAGAAUCAAGUCUCUAUGUCUGCCCUUUCAAAAGUUAUUAAAGGUCAAAGUCGUUGGUACACAGGCCCAGGGGACGUGUACCAACGAUUAAAAAAAUAAUUAUUUUAUUUGUAACUCCACCAUUUGUCGCAACCGUUAAAAGAGCCAAGAGUUACCUAGAUACUAAAUGUCAAGCAAUCGUGGUUGUCAAGCAAUAUUGGCCCCUACCGUUGUCAGGCGAACAGUCUGGUCACUAAACAAUUCAUGAUUUGAAGAUGGCUUUAUAAAAAACUGCAUUUUUGGCGAGGGUGCAUAAAAACCGGACCAACUCGUCUUCAUCAUGCCUCCCCCACCCAAAAAGAAAAAGAAGGGGAAACGGAAGAAGAAGCAACCCCGUUGUCCCAUUAAACGACGAAAGAAGCCCCUGAAACGAAAAUGUUCCGACGUAUUGGAUCCAACUGCAGUAUUAAACUCGUACUUUGUCUGCCACGGACUCACAGAUAUGUUAAAAUUCCGGAAAUUCACCUGGAAGAAGAAAAAGAAGGGGACUUGAUCCUAUUGGGAGGGACGCUAUGUAAACAUUUGACAUUUUCAAGGAGCAACAACACCAAAUUAUCAGUACUAAGGAACUUUGUUAACCGAAUGUGAGACCACCUUAAUAAAUGCAUAGCAAGUACACAUAUCAUGAUCGUCAUUUUUAGCAUCUACAAAAAAGAUUUCCUGUUUAUUGAGUCUCCAUAUUGUAAUAUUAAUUGCAGUAAUUUCAAAAUCUCUCUUAAAAUGUGCUUCAUAUAAUAACUUUACCAGUUUUGUCUCUUAUACAGACACAUCAUAUACAGAGUAGACUUUAGAUUACAAUAAUGCUUAAAUCUAGAGUUAGUUUAUUAUUACUAUGUUUUCUUUCUUCCACCACCACAAGUUUUGGUUUUUGUUAUUCGUUUUAUUUUGAAUUGAGUAAAUUCA
Molecule: long non-coding RNA, 1191 nt
Organism: Folsomia candida
Lineage: Eukaryota; Metazoa; Arthropoda; Collembola; Entomobryomorpha; Isotomidae
Exons: 2
Source: RefSeq, a predicted model, not a curated record